This 1348-nucleotide ribosomal RNA is filed under the name Vibrio sp. DBTRY. RNAcentral's name for it is "16S ribosomal RNA". It matches the Rfam family "Bacterial small subunit ribosomal RNA", at positions 90 to 1434 of the family's 1533-position model. The record is from RNAcentral. Lineage: Bacteria; Pseudomonadati; Pseudomonadota; Gammaproteobacteria; Vibrionales; Vibrionaceae.
GUCGAGCGGCGGACGGGUGAGUAAUGCCUAGGAAAUUGCCCUGAUGUGGGGGAUAACCAUUGGAAACGAUGGCUAAUACCGCAUGAUGCCUACGGGCCAAAGAGGGGGACCUUCGGGCCUCUCGCGUCAGGAUAUGCCUAGGUGGGAUUAGCUAGUUGGUGAGGUAAGGGCUCACCAAGGCGACGAUCCCUAGCUGGUCUGAGAGGAUGAUCAGCCACACUGGAACUGAGACACGGUCCAGACUCCUACGGGAGGCAGCAGUGGGGAAUAUUGCACAAUGGGCGCAAGCCUGAUGCAGCCAUGCCGCGUGUGUGAAGAAGGCCUUCGGGUUGUAAAGCACUUUCAGUCGUGAGGAAGGUAGUGUAGUUAAUAGCUGCAUUAUUUGACGUUAGCGACAGAAGAAGCACCGGCUAACUCCGUGCCAGCAGCCGCGGUAAUACGGAGGGUGCGAGCGUUAAUCGGAAUUACUGGGCGUAAAGCGCAUGCAGGUGGUUUGUUAAGUCAGAUGUGAAAGCCCGGGGCUCAACCUCGGAAUUGCAUUUGAAACUGGCAGACUAAGUACUGUAGAGGGGGGGUAGAAUUUCAGGUGUAGCGGUGAAAUGCGUAGAGAUCUGAAGGAAUACCGGUGGCGAAGGCGGCCCCCUGGACAGAUACUGACACUCAGAUGCGAAAGCGUGGGGAGCAAACAGGAUUAGAUACCCUGGUAGUCCACGCCGUAAACGAUGUCUACUUGGAGGUUGUGGCCUUGAGCCGUGGCUUUCGGAGCUAACGCGUUAAGUAGACCGCCUGGGGAGUACGGUCGCAAGAUUAAAACUCAAAUGAAUUGACGGGGGCCCGCACAAGCGGUGGAGCAUGUGGUUUAAUUCGAUGCAACGCGAAGAACCUUACCUACUCUUGACAUCCAGAGAACUUUCCAGAGAUGGAUUGGUGCCUUCGGGAACUCUGAGACAGGUGCUGCAUGGCUGUCGUCAGCUCGUGUUGUGAAAUGUUGGGUUAAGUCCCGCAACGAGCGCAACCCUUAUCCUUGUUUGCCAGCGAGUAAUGUCGGGAACUCCAGGGAGACUGCCGGUGAUAAACCGGAGGAAGGUGGGGACGACGUCAAGUCAUCAUGGCCCUUACGAGUAGGGCUACACACGUGCUACAAUGGCGCAUACAGAGGGCAGCCAACUUGCGAAAGUGAGCGAAUCCCAAAAAGUGCGUCGUAGUCCGGAUUGGAGUCUGCAACUCGACUCCAUGAAGUCGGAAUCGCUAGUAAUCGUGGAUCAGAAUGCCACGGUGAAUACGUUCCCGGGCCUUGUACACACCGCCCGUCACACCAUGGGAGUGGGCUGCAAAAGAAGUAGGUAUG